AUAGCUCAUUACAACAGCCAUUGUUUCUUGGAUCUUACUUUCUACUUGGAUAACUGUGGUAAUUCUAGAGCUAAUACACGCAUACAAGUUCCGACGCAAGAAGGAACGCAUUUAUUAGAACUAAACCAAUCGGGCUUGCCCGUUGUUUGGUGAAUCUGAAUAACUCCGCAGAUCGCAUGGUCUAGCACCGGCGACAUAUCUUUCAAGUGUCUGCCUUAUCAACUUUCGAUGGUAGUUUAUGUGACUACCAUGGUUGUUACGGGUAACGGAGAAUUAGGGUUCGACUCCGGAGAGGGAGCCUGAGAAACGGCUACCACAUCCAAGGAAGGCAGCAGGCGCGCAAAUUACCCACUCUCGGCACGAGGAGGUAGUGACGAAAAAUAACGAGACAGUUCUCUUUGAGGUCUGUCAUCGGAAUGGGUACAACCCAAACCCUUUAACGAGGAUCUAUUGGAGGGCAAGUCUGGUGCCAGCAGCCGCGGUAAUUCCAGCUCCAAUAGCGUAUAUUAAAGUUGUUGCGGUUAAAAAGCUCGUAGUUGGAUCUCUGGUCUUGCCGGCUGGUCUCCCUCAG
This 571-nucleotide ribosomal RNA is filed under the name Calomicrolaimus sp. LPCFF6F04. RNAcentral describes it as "SSU rRNA". It matches the Rfam family "Eukaryotic small subunit ribosomal RNA", at positions 93 to 668 of the family's 1831-position model. The record is from RNAcentral. Lineage: Eukaryota; Metazoa; Nematoda; Chromadorea; Desmodorida; Microlaimidae.